GGAAGUGAACGGACCUGGCGGGCGAUGCUUAACUAACAAUAGCAAGUACGAACGGGAAACGGUAGGGUGGUUUCCUAGUGGUGAACGGGUAGGAGUAACGACGUAAGAACCUAGCCCUUCGGUAGGGGAACGAACAACUAGGAACAAGUUGCUAAUACCCCGUAGGCUGAGGAGAAAAAGGAGAAAUCCACCCAAGGAGGGGCUCACGUCUGAUUAGCUAGUUGGUGAGGUAAUAGCUUACCAAGGCGAUGAUCAGUAGCUGGCCCGAGAGGAUGAUCAACCACACUGGGACUGAGACACGACCCAGACUCCUACGGGAGGCAGCAGUGGGGAAUUUUUCGCAAUGGGCGAAAGCCUGACGGAGCAAUGCCGCGUGGAGGUGGAAGGCCUACGGUUCGUCAACUUCUUCUCUCGGAGAAGAAACAAUGACGGUAUCUGAGGAAUAAGCAUCGGCUAACUCUGUG
RNAcentral lists this ribosomal RNA (464 nucleotides) under uncultured bacterium. Its description in RNAcentral is "bacterial SSU rRNA". It matches the Rfam family "Bacterial small subunit ribosomal RNA", at positions 36 to 507 of the family's 1533-position model. The record is from RNAcentral.